Molecule: long non-coding RNA, 525 nt
Organism: Stegostoma tigrinum
Lineage: Eukaryota; Metazoa; Chordata; Chondrichthyes; Orectolobiformes; Stegostomatidae
Exons: 3
Source: RefSeq, a predicted model, not a curated record
CCUUUUACAAGGGAUGUGACGUCAGCUGUUACAGGGGUUUGCAUUAUGUUGGCAUCCAAGAUAUUAGGUGGGAUUGACAGUGGAAUGUGUUUCCAACCCCCCUCCUUCGUUGUCAAUAUUAAUUAGGUGUUUGGAGACAGUUUUACGAAUCAACAGGAGUCAGGCAGUUUGCAAACAUUUCGAGCUUUCAGAGCAAAAGUCACUGGACAGAUCUCGGUGCUGGAAUGGAAUAAUCAGCAUUCACUGGCAGCUCCUUCCAGGGCUCACGAUGAUAAACGCAACACAGGACGUGGGAGUCACUGGCCAGGCCUGCAUUCAUUGCCCAUCCUUUAUUGCUCAUCCAUUAUUGCCCAGACGGCAGGUGAGAGUCAACCACAUUGCUAUGGGUCUGGAGUCACAUGUAAGCCAGACCAGCAUGAUCCCUCCAGCAGAGGUCACUAGAUAGGCAUCCGCAUGAAAAUUCCUGUAUGACUUCUGCUUUCCUCAACCACAGUGCACUGAAGCAAAUUAGAAGCACUCGCAGCG